GGGUUGUGAGGUUAAGCGACUAAGCGUACACGGUGGAUGCCCUGGCAGUCAGAGGCGAUGAAGGACGUGCUAAUCUGCGAUAAGCGUCGGUAAGGUGAUAUGAACCGUUAUAACCGGCGAUUUCCGAAUGGGGAAACCCAGUGUGUUUCGACACACUAUCAUUAACUGAAUCCAUAGGUUAAUGAGGCGAACCGGGGGAACUGAAACAUCUAAGUACCCCGAGGAAAAGAAAUCAACCGAGAUUCCCCCAGUAGCGGCGAGCGAACGGGGAGGAGCCCAGAGCCUGAAUCAGUGUGUGUGUUAGUGGAAGCGUCUGGAAAGGCGCGCGAUACAGGGUGACAGCCCCGUACACAAAAAUGCACAUACUGUGAGCUCGAUGAGUAGGGCGGGACACGUGGUAUCCUGUCUGAAUAUGGGGGGACCAUCCUCCAAGGCUAAAUACUCCUGACUGACCGAUAGUGAACCAGUACCGUGAGGGAAAGGCGAAAAGAACCCCGGCGAGGGGAGUGAAAAAGAACCUGAAACCGUGUACGUACAAGCAGUGGGAGCCUCUUUUAUGGGGUGACUGCGUACCUUUUGUAUAAUGGGUCAGCGACUUAUAUUCUGUAGCAAGGUUAACCGAAUAGGGGAGCCGAAGGGAAACCGAGUCUUAACUGGGCGUUAAGUUGCAGGGUAUAGACCCGAAACCCGGUGAUCUAGCCAUGGGCAGGUUGAAGGUUGGGUAACACUAACUGGAGGACCGAACCGACUAAUGUUGAAAAAUUAGCGGAUGACUUGUGGCUGGGGGUGAAAGGCCAAUCAAACCGGGAGAUAGCUGGUUCUCCCCGAAAGCUAUUUAGGUAGCGCCUCGUGAACUCAUCUCCGGGGGUAGAGCACUGUUUCGGCAAGGGGGUCAUCCCGACUUACCAACCCGAUGCAAACUGCGAAUACCGGAGAAUGUUAUCACGGGAGACACACGGCGGGUGCUAACGUCCGUCGUGAAGAGGGAAACAACCCAGACCGCCAGCUAAGGUCCCAAAGUCAUGGUUAAGUGGGAAACGAUGUGGGAAGGCCCAGACAGCCAGGAUGUUGGCUUAGAAGCAGCCAUCAUUUAAAGAAAGCGUAAUAGCUCACUGGUCGAGUCGGCCUGCGCGGAAGAUGUAACGGGGCUAAACCAUGCACCGAAGCUGCGGCAGCGACACUAUGUGUUGUUGGGUAGGGGAGCGU
RNAcentral lists this ribosomal RNA (1206 nucleotides) under Escherichia coli. Its description in RNAcentral is "partial 23S ribosomal RNA". It matches the Rfam family "Bacterial large subunit ribosomal RNA", at positions 1 to 1239 of the family's 2925-position model. The record is from RNAcentral. Lineage: Bacteria; Pseudomonadati; Pseudomonadota; Gammaproteobacteria; Enterobacterales; Enterobacteriaceae.